GUGACAGACCUCAGUCAGUCUUCUGGCGUCUCUGGACGGGAGUUGUAGGUUGAUGCUGCAGAGCUCCUUCCUGCUCUUGAAGAGGCUCUUGACAAACUGCGGCCCAUUGUCCCGCACAGUCUGCAAACAUGAAGAGUAGAAAACCCAAGGAGAUCAGCGGAGAUCAGCGGAGAUCAGCGGAGCUUGCGCCGUCCAUGCAGCUGCCGUGACUUCCCUCAGAGACUGGUGUCAACACACCCGUGGCCACACCCCUCCGACUAUCAGGUGGAGGCAUUUGCAGGAUUAGCACCACUAAGUGGUCAAAAGAUGAAACUGCAGUGUUUCACAAAUUCCUCAGUAAAUUCACCAAAACGACACCGUGGAGUUAUUGAGUAUGUUUAGCUGAUUGGAGAUUGGGUCCAUGAAGACGACUGCUGUUUUGUUUGAUCAGCCGUUUUACUGCCGUGUUACAGACACAGUUUGGAAACAAUUAAGGUAUGUGAAUAUACAUUUAUCUUUCUGUAUAAAUAACUCCUUUUGCAAUGUAUAUAUAUAUAUCUUCCGCUUAUGCGGCUAAAUUAUGGAAAAAAUAAUGUUUUCCCCCAAUAAUUUACUGGGUGCAACUUCUAUCCGGUGCG
This is a long non-coding RNA of Nerophis ophidion (straightnose pipefish), 617 nucleotides long. RefSeq lists it as uncharacterized. The transcript is spliced from 4 exons. Lineage: Eukaryota; Metazoa; Chordata; Actinopteri; Syngnathiformes; Syngnathidae. The record is from RefSeq and is a predicted model, not a curated record.